GCAUAUCAAUAAGCGGAGGAAAAGAAACUAACAAGGAUUCCCUUAGUAACGGCGAGUGAAGAGGGAAGAGCUCAAAUUUUAAAUCUAUCAUGUUGUACAUGAUCGAGUUGUAAUUUGAAGAAGCGUUUUCUCGUACUUUAUGAUCAGUAUAAGUUCUCUUGGAACAGGACAUCAUAGAGGGUGAUAAUCCCGUCUGUUACUGGUUGUGAGGUUCGUUAUGAUACGCUUUCAAAGAGUCGAGUUGUUUGGGAUUGCAGCUCCAAAUGGGUGGUAAACAUCACCUAAGGCUAAAUAUUUGCGAGAGACCGAUAGCGAACAAGUACCGUGAGGGAAAGAUGAAAAGAACUUUGAAAAGAGAGUUAAAAAGUAUGUGAAAUUGUUGAAAGGGAAACGAUUGAAGUCAGUCGUGCAGUCAUCAAUUCAGCGGUUAACAUUUUUAUGUUUCCGUGUAAUUUGGUGUCUGUUGGUUAGCAUCAAUUUUGAUUGUUAUAAAAAGGUUAAGGGGAUGUGGCUCCUUCGGGAGUGUUAUAACCCUUAGCGUAAUGUGACGAUUAGGAUUGAGGUUUGCAACGAAUACCUUUUAGGGCAGUUUCACCUGGCCUCUCGUGGAAUUAUAGAUAGUUAAGAGCAUGCUCUUAACUAUCUAUAAUUCUACGAAAAGGUUGGAGUGUAAAACUAAUUCGUUAAGGAUGUUGACGUA
Molecule: ribosomal RNA, 700 nt
Filed under: uncultured Glomerales
Lineage: Eukaryota; Fungi; Glomeromycota; Glomeromycetes; Glomerales; Glomeraceae
Description: LSU rRNA
Rfam family: Eukaryotic large subunit ribosomal RNA
Source: RNAcentral